This 69-nucleotide transfer RNA is filed under the name Rattus norvegicus (Norway rat). It matches the Rfam family "tRNA". Rfam says of the family: Transfer RNA (tRNA) molecules are approximately 80 nucleotides in length. Their secondary structure includes four short double-helical elements and three loops (D, anti-codon, and T loops). RNAcentral also lists the same sequence under 1 other name. The record is from Rfam by way of RNAcentral. Lineage: Eukaryota; Metazoa; Chordata; Mammalia; Rodentia; Muridae.
GGUGAUUUAGCUCAGUGGUAGAGCGCUUGCCUAGCAAGCACAAGGCCCUGGGUUCGGUCCUCAGCUCCA